CGUUAUUAGGGGGUGGCUAACUAUUAGUUCCCUAUUAGUAGGUUUAUUAUAGUUGUUAAUAGUUUUUUUACCUUCAACUCACUAUCCAAAAGCACCUAUAAUUAGCAGGUGGAUCUAAAGCGUCUCCUUAAAAAAACUUAACAGCUAUUAAUAACUAUCAGCUAACAAUAUUUUUAGCACUAAUUUAUUCGAACACGCCAAUAAUCAAUCUGUUGUUUCAUAGCACCAGCAUGAUAUAUACAAAGCUGAGACGACACCGAGACUAGUACAAUUUAUUUCAAAGGAAGCUAGGAGGCAGCUGACACUUGGUGUGCACCUCUCUUGAUCUGUUGCUCUCCAGCUGCAGUUGCCAAUUGCGCGCGAUUGAGUUGGCAGACGAGGCGAGACGCCAAUUGGGUUGCUGCAAGCUGAUCCUGCUGGAACACACAACUUUUUUCUUCAUUUUCUUUUUUUUUUUUGUUAAAAAGAAACACGCACCACUCUAGAGUACACAAAAGUGUUUUGUGUUGUGAUCCGUAUGGUUGGCCUGAGGACAAGGGCACGCAAAAUGGGCAGCAUGAGGUCAAUUUUCAUUCCCUUUUUUUAGGAAGGGGCUUAUUUAUAUAUUAGAUUAAAAUCAACACGGAAGAAGGAAAACUGAGGAAACUGAUAGAAAAGAGGAGGGUAAGAAAGAAAGAAUCCAAGAUAAAAAAAAACGUUAAAAAGAAAAUGAGCCUCAGCCUAGAGGUUAAUUUCUCACCAAGACAUAAUACUUGCUACCUCUGUCUCAAAAAGAUGCGAUUCUAGAUCUAGUUAAAAGUCAAACUAUUAACUCGUAUGAAUCCAAAUAGGUAUAUAUAUUAUGUCGUUAUAUAUGAAUCUAAUAAAAUUUGUUUUAUGUGAUAAAUAUGAGUACCUUUCUUUAUCAAUUACUUUAGAUUAUUUGAUCUAGCAAUAUUUUAGACUUACAACA
Molecule: long non-coding RNA, 952 nt
Filed under: Sorghum bicolor (sorghum)
Lineage: Eukaryota; Viridiplantae; Streptophyta; Magnoliopsida; Poales; Poaceae
Description: long non-coding RNA (SBIC_LNC015236)
Source: RNAcentral